GAUAAGGUGGCCGAAAUUUAGGUGAUAAAUUGUAAAUUUAUUUAUGGUGUUAUGCCUCUUAUCA
RNAcentral lists this transfer RNA (64 nucleotides) under Tessaratoma papillosa. RNAcentral describes it as "tRNA-Tyr". Lineage: Eukaryota; Metazoa; Arthropoda; Insecta; Hemiptera; Tessaratomidae. The record is from RNAcentral.